This 252-nucleotide ribosomal RNA is filed under the name uncultured bacterium. Its description in RNAcentral is "partial 16S ribosomal RNA". It matches the Rfam family "Bacterial small subunit ribosomal RNA", at positions 524 to 776 of the family's 1533-position model. The record is from RNAcentral.
UACGGGGGGGCAAGCGUUAGGCGGAAUCACUGGGCUUAAAGCGUGUGUAGGCGGAUCGUUAAGUGUCUUGUGAAAUCCCACGGCUCACCCGUGGAACUGCUGGGCAUACUGGCGAUCUUGGGCCAACUAGGGGCAACUGGAACAAGCGGUGGAGCGGUGAAAUGCGUAGAUAUCGCUUGGAACGCCAACGGUGAAAACAGGUUGCUGGGGUUGUGCCGACGCUGAGACACGAAAGCCAGGGGAGCAAACGGG